AUGUAACGCAAAAUUGGUCCAAGGUUUAUGCGUUUUUAACUUAAUUUUUCUUUUUCGAUUUAUGAAUGUUGGCAUUGAAGCGCUGGCAUUGUGCCAAAUUUUGUUACGACUUUCGCGAGUUUCCCAUCUUUAUACUUAUACAAUCUUUGGUUCAACUCCAUGGUUCAGUCGCCGCCAUUCUCAUGGAGGGUCAGCGAGAAUGAAAUUUUUAACUUUAAAGCUUCGUCUGCUAGAUUUAGAAGCUUAUCUACCAGGAAGGUAUUUUGAGAUUGACUGUUGGACUCUGCAAAUUGAAAUGAGGUAGAAAACUGAGAGCUUUAAGUUCGAUCCGUACAGAAAACAAAACAACUGGUUUGGAAAUGCUACCGGUGCUCUUAAAGUUUGUCGGAGAAUGAAAUUUUAACUUCAAAGCUUCGUCUGCUGGAUAAACAAGCUUAUCUACCAGAAAGGAGCCAUUGAUUUUUGAGAUUGGAUGCUGCACAAUGGAAAUUGAUAUUCUGGUAGAAAACUGGGAGCCAUAUAUUCGAUCCUGACAGAAAACAAAACGACUGGAGGUUCUCUUUAAAUCUGCCGGAGCUGAAAGUUUGAAGAAAUGUGCAUCCCUGUGCGAUUCAUCCCUGCUGUGUGAUAUGCAUUAAUGUCGCCGACCAUUUUAUAAAAUCUUUCAAUAAAGCAAAGAUUUUCAGUUUAUUGCUCUGAAAUAUAGUUCAGUUGCACAAAAACAAAAAAUUGAAUUGAAGAAAAACUUUAAACUGUAUGAAAUGACUAAAGUUUUGGAAUUUUU
Long non-coding RNA from Parasteatoda tepidariorum (common house spider), 784 nucleotides. RefSeq lists it as uncharacterized. Lineage: Eukaryota; Metazoa; Arthropoda; Arachnida; Araneae; Theridiidae. The record is from RefSeq and is a predicted model, not a curated record.